UUGCCACAUAACCGCGGGCACGGCUUUCCGGAAGAUUUAACCCUGCAGGGGUGCUCCAACUAGUCCAUCACAAAUUACCACAAGCCGCAUAGAAAUCCUCAAUCACGAAGCUCGCGAUCUCGUCGGAUUCCCUAGUGGAAAACCUCAACUCUGAGAUUACCCAAAGCAUCACCGGAAUCCCGAUGCACAAGAUAUCUCGUCAAAGGUAAAAC
This 212-nucleotide long non-coding RNA is filed under the name Hordeum vulgare. RNAcentral's name for it is "long non-coding RNA (HVUL_LNC005247)". The record is from RNAcentral. Lineage: Eukaryota; Viridiplantae; Streptophyta; Magnoliopsida; Poales; Poaceae.